RNAcentral lists this ribosomal RNA (205 nucleotides) under Mycoplasmoides gallisepticum. RNAcentral describes it as "Mycoplasma gallisepticum partial 16S ribosomal RNA". It matches the Rfam family "Bacterial small subunit ribosomal RNA", at positions 1140 to 1346 of the family's 1533-position model. Lineage: Bacteria; Bacillati; Mycoplasmatota; Mycoplasmoidales; Mycoplasmoidaceae. The record is from RNAcentral.
CUAACGAGACUGCCAACGUAAGUUGGAGGAAGGUGGGGAUGACGUCAAAUCAUCAUGCCCCUUAUGUCUAGGGCUGCAAACGUGCUACAAUGGCCAAUACAAUCAGUUGCAAAUCCGUAAGGUGGAGCUAAUCUGUAAAGUUGGUCUCAGUUCGGAUUGAGGGCUGCAAUUCGCCCUCAUGAAGUCGGAAUCACUAGUAAUCGCG